Molecule: ribosomal RNA, 498 nt
Filed under: uncultured bacterium
Lineage: Bacteria
Description: partial 16S ribosomal RNA
Rfam family: Bacterial small subunit ribosomal RNA
Source: RNAcentral
AUUGAACGCUGGCGGAAUGCUUUACACAUGCAAGUCGAACGGCAGCACGGACUUCGGUCUGGUGGCGAGUGGCGAACGGGUGAGUAAUGUAUCGGAACGUGCCCAGUCGUGUGGGAUAACGUAGUUAAGAUUACGCUAAUACCGCAUACGAUCUAUGGAUGAAAGCGGGGGAUCGCAAGACCUCGCGCGAUUGGAGGGGCGGAUAUCAGGUUAGGUAGUUGGUGGGGUGAAUGCGCACCAAGCCAACGAUCUGUAGCUGGUCUGGGAGGACGGCCAGACACUGGAACUGAGACAGGGUCCAGACUCCUACGGGAGGGAGCAGUGGGGAAUUUUGGACAAUGGGCCAGAGCCUGAUGCAGCCAUUCCGCGUGCAGGAUGAAGGCCCUCGGGUUGUAAACUGCUUUUGUACAGAACGAAAAGGUUUCUACUAAUACUAGGAGCUCAUGACGGUACUGUAAGAAUAAGCACCGGCUAACUACGUGCCAGCCGCCGCGGUAA